CCAGCUCCAAGCCCCACAGAACCAAAAAGCUCACCUGGGCAUUGGUCCUGCACCCACUGAACUGAGAGCAGGAACUAGAAACAGGACAGCAUUCCUGGGGUCAGCUGGAAAGAAACUCCCUUGGUCUUUUCCUCUAUCAGCAAUUCCUGAUAGUUCUCUUCCUACAUAUCUUGUGGUCUGACCACUUUUCUUCAUGCCUACUGCCAUUCAGAGAUCAUCUCUUUGUUAGAUGGUUUCCCUGUCUCCAGGCCCCACCCCACCCAUUCUAGAAUGCAAAUUUGAUUAUUAAAACAUGUGGCUUCCCUUUUUCCCCAGAAUAAAGUACAAACACUUUAACAAGGCUUCCAUCACCUGGCCCCUUCCCACUCCAAUCUUUUCUCACUCCGUCUUCCAACCAUCUUCAAAUAUGAUCUGUUCCUUUACCACACCAGGCUGCCUCUUACCUCCGGGGCUUUUUACAGAUAGAAACAACUUAAUGGACAUUCUGAACUCAACACAGUCUUGACAUGGUUUUAACCAAUGUCUUCCACUGUACUUGGUCAGUUCUCCCUUUCCAGCUCUGACAGAUUCUGUAGCGUUCUGUUCACUUAGUUAUUAAAAGUCUAGACUAGUGUCAACCGCAUCAAUUCAACACCAACAGGAAUUCCAAGUUUGGGGUGCAGUGAAGAAGGAAAUGUUUUCAGUGCAAACAACUCAAUUGUGACACAGCAUGGCUGUGAAAAUACAUGACUGUGGAACAUAUCAGUUGUGAUACAACGCAGCUGUGAAAAUAGCAUUGCUGUUAGGAGGCCCUGGGGACAGAUGUCUGCUUCUCCAACUAGACAGUUCUGCUGUGCUCUGUGCCAGUCUAGUCUAGUCUGCUCUGCUCUGCUCUGCUCUGGAGAGACAUCUUCAGUGUUAUAUCUUCGGUGUUUCAGCUCUACUCAGGUAACUGCAGUCUUCAGUUUAUAGUGGAAAGGGAAAGUGUACUUUUAGAGCCAGAGGGGAGCUUACACAUAAGUCCCUGCCCAAACUGGUCCCUGAUUGGUCUAUCCUAAUGCAAAUAAGGACUCCAAGUCCUUGCAGUUUUAUUGACCCAAAAGGCAUUGUCCUAAUUGGUCAGAAUGGAGCUGCUUUGAUUGGUUAUUGAAGAAGUUGCUGGUAGCUGCACAAUUCCAGUUGGAUGGGGAAAGCCUCAAUCUUAUUGGUUGAAAUAGGAUUCCAGGAAUUCCUUUAUAAGGGCUGACUCAGAUGACAGUGCAGGCUGGCAAUUAAGUUCAGGCUUCUCCCUGAAGUGCAGUUUGCGUGAGAGGUCCCUGUGUAGAAAUGGCUGCUAGACUCUGUUUUUUUGUUUUGGUUGAGGGGGGAGCUUUUUUGCUUGUUUGUUUUUUGAAUCUGAGCCCAGUUAAGCCACCAGGAAUUCAUCUUGGUAGAUACCUUUUUAUCUCAGGGUCCACGCUAGUGUAGUCCACUUUAAAACUUCAACCUCACAUCAAGUUUUAAGGUCCUUACUUCCCCUCAACACCAACCAGGCCUCAGCAGUGGAACUUUGUUUGGGGAACGGGUGCAUUCUGACUUUUCAUAGAAAGAAGUCUCUCUUUCCCUAAUUUAAACUACUUCUUGUUUUGGAAUCUGGAGGAUGGAUUAGGGAGGGUGAAGGAACAUGGGCAAAAACUCCUUUUAUUAACUGGUCAUGUCAUUGCAGUCAUCUGUUGGUUGUGUGUCUCUCAGGCUAAGACAAACUGGUCAUGGACACCUUCCAUUUUGAAGCUGCCCAAAUGUUAGCUUUAAUGGGCACAUGGGUUAGUGUCCCAAGAGCUCUCCCCUUUGCACAAUCCUCAGAUGGGAAAUCUGCUCCAACUUAACUGCUUCCACAAGCCCUUAGGUCCUUCUCUUGGCAGUUUAACUAAGCUUCCCUGACUGCCAGUUUUCUUGGGACAAAAAUAACAUGGCUCAAACCCUGUUGAUUCCCACACUGUUUAUUUGACUUACAGGAAGUUCACAUCCUUGCUAAACCAAAUUGUAAGAGUGACAGCUCUUUCCUUGUCAACCCUCCCACCUUGCUCCAAUGAUCAGCAAGCUUGUCCAAGCAAGAACUGAGAUGUCAGUCUCUCCUUGCCAAACCACAAAUUGUUAUGAGUGGUUCUCUUGGAGACCUCUCACUUGGAGGUAAGGACAAAAUGCACAGCACUCAAUCCCUCGACUGGUGACAGACACAUGACUUCGUCAAUCCCCCUUCUGUUUUUACCUCCACACCAUCUUCUGUUUAUUUCACAUGGAGGUAAAAAAUGGGAUAUGAUGUAGAACUGACCUACCAUCUCUCGGUGGUACCUCUCAGUUAGGUGUCCGGGGUAUCAGAUGAGUCCUACUUCACAAAUGUUGUUUCCUUUGCCCAGAACACUUUGUCACACACCUUGACACCUCUCCUUUUUCCCUUUUCUAUGACUAGCUCCUCCCCAUCUUUUAGGUAUCAACGUAGAUAUCAUCAUUACCAGGAAGAAAUCCUAACAUUGCCAAGCCUAUGGCAGGAGACUGAUCUGUCACUUCUAAAGCUCCCGGUGCCUCCCUCAUCAUAGCACAUACCGAAUUAUGCUCUAAAUGAUUCUUGAUAGUCUGUCUUCCCUCAUGAGACUAAGCCCCACAAGGGCUGGAACAGUGUCAGCUUUACUCAUCUCUGUACUCAUAGUGCCUCACACACAGAAAACACUCAGUAUGUUGGAUAAACACAUGAACAAAUGAUUCUUAUGGUUUCGGGCUACAGUCUGUGUGAUUUGAAAAAGCCUAGGAUCCUGCUGAAAUUGCCACUGCCCUGGCUUCCUCCAGUACCCUGAGAACUAUUGAGCUUUGUAUAUCAGAUUAUGUUGGUGGGACAUCUUUGAAAUGUCUAAAGUGCUGUAUUAGAAUCUGUACUUCUAUAAAUUAGUUUUAUUUAAUCAACCUAUCCUGUAAGCAUACUCAGAGUUUGCAAAAGAGGAAGUUGUGAGAUAACCGAAGAUGGGUAAUUACCCUAAACUUUUUGCUCCAGUCCUCACAAGCCCAGAUCCCUUUCCCAGUUGAUUAAAAGUUUGAUUCUAUCCUGUAGGAGUUCCCUUUUCACUGUUUGACUGGAAUUUAAGGGGAGUUAUGGCUUCUCCUACUAGAGCCUCUGCACGUGAUAUUCAUUCGUUUGUUCAACAAACUGCUGUUAACUGACCUAGAAGGGCUUUGGGAGCUUUAAUGUAUAUCCACCUGGGGCCCUUCAGGUUCAUAGAGGCAGGAUGGGAGAUGAACAGCCUCACUAAAGUAAGGAUAUUCCUAUCCUCAGACACUAGGUAGAUUUCCUAGGAGCCAGAGCCAUUCCUUCCUUCCUUUCCCUCCCAGUCCACACCCCACAAUGAAGCAAAAAGGAAAAGUUGUGCCAUAGGCUUAAGGAAAAAUGCCCUCUGGGUUUAGGAGCCCUAAGAUAAAAGAGGAUAUUGUUUCCAGGGAACAGUUCCAGACAUAAGAUCCUCCCAUAUCCCCUGUCCUGAGAGGUCCUUUCUCUUCUUUAAAAUGGAAUAGAAUUUUUGUCUGAAGAACCACGUUCCUGGAUUAACUAAAACAUGAAUUUACUCAGAAUAGCACAUUCAGCUGUUCAAAUGCAUAUAUUGGGCAAUGUUUCUACGUGAGUUCUUGUGUAUCCUACAGUAAGGGCACAGUCCCUGCCUUCAAGUUACAACUAGUAAGGGAGGGAAGAUUAAGUACUAUGAUAGAAUUAUCCAUUUGUGGCCUGGAUGUUGUGGAGGUCAGGGUCUUAAAGAAUAUAAAACUGGCUUAGUCUGGAAGUAGAAGUGGACCGAGCAGAAGAUUAGGAGGGGAGAAAUGCAGGAUUCCAGGCGUUGCAGGCAGAGUGAACGCCAGGGACGGAGGCCAGGAGAUAACAGAAGCAAACCUUUGCUGAGCUCUGAGCCUGUACUUCACAAGUAUUACCUGAUUUGAUUCCCACAACAACCCUUUGAAAUAUGUAUUGUGAUAAACCCCAUUUUAUAGAUGAAGAAACUGAGGCAUGGAGAAGUUAAGUAAAUAUUUUGAACAAGAUCACAGCUUACUUACUGAUGAAGCCAAGAUGCAAACCAGGAAGUUUGAGGACAGAGCCUCUGCCCUUCACCACUUGGCUACCAGGGGUACAAGUGAUUAUAUUUAAGACCCACUCUGAUGAUCUAGGAUAAGCUGCUCCUCUCCAGAGCCUUAAUUACAUCUUUCGCUGUAUAAGGCUCAACAGCAAGAUGGAGGUGACAGAGGAAUCAGUGAACUUGAAGACAGAACAAUAUAAAUGACUCAAGCUGAACAGUAAAUUGGUCACUCUACUGGUCCUGGUCUAUAAAGUAACCAAAGACAAGGCAACAAGAACAGAGAAGAAAGGAGCCAACACUGCCGGCAUGAAAGUACAGUUCUCGGUGGAGACAGCACUGAGGUGAAGAUCUGGAGACCCAAGAGGCAGGGCCAUCUUGGAGCCGUCUUAGAGCCUAGAGCCUGGGAACGAAAAGCAGCUUUAGCCACCCAAUUCCCCCAAUGCCAGAUGCUUCCCCCGGGC
Miniopterus natalensis is the source of this 4531-nucleotide non-coding RNA. NCBI's taxonomy places the organism in Eukaryota, Metazoa, Chordata, Mammalia, Chiroptera, Miniopteridae. The record is from RefSeq and is a predicted model, not a curated record.